AUACGGAGGAUGCGAGCGUUAUCCGGAUUCAUUGGGUUUAAAGGGAGCGUAGGUGGGAUAUUAAGUCAGCUGUGAAAGUUUGGGGCUCAACCUUAAAAUUGCAGUUGAUACUGGUUUCCUUGAGUACGGCACAGGUGGGCGGAAUUCGUGGAGUAGCGGUGAAAUGCUUAGAUAUCACGAAGAACUCCGAUCGCGAAGGCAGCUCACCGGGCCGGAACUGACACUGAUGCUCGAAAGUGCGGGUAUCAAACAGGAUUAGAUACCCUGGUAGUCCGCACAGUAAACGAUGAAUACUCGAUGUUUGCGAUACACUGUAAGCGGCCAAGCGAAAGCGUUAAGUAUUCCACCUGGGGAGUACGCCGGUAACGGUGAAACUCAAAUGAAUUGGCGGGG
This 393-nucleotide ribosomal RNA is filed under the name uncultured bacterium. Its description in RNAcentral is "partial 16S ribosomal RNA". It matches the Rfam family "Bacterial small subunit ribosomal RNA", at positions 523 to 918 of the family's 1533-position model. The record is from RNAcentral.